AUACGUAGGGGGCAAGCGUUAUCCGGAUUUACUGGGCGUAAAGCGCGCGUAGGUGGUUCAGUCAGUCAGAUGUGAAAGCCCCGGGCUCAACCUGGGAACUGCUUUGGAAACUGUCUGACUGGAGUGCAGGAGAGGUAAGCGGAAUUCCUAGUGUAGCGGUGAAAUGCGUAGAUAUUAGGAGGAACACCAGAGGCGAAGGCGGCUUACUGGACUGUAACUGACGUUGAGGCUCGAAGGCGUGGGGAGCAAACAGGAUUAGAUACCCUGGUAGUCCACGCGGUAAACGAUGAUCACUAGGUGUCGGCGGCCAUAGGCGGUCGGUGCCGCAGCAAACGCAAUAAGUGAUCCACCUGGGGAGUACGUUCGCAAGAAUGAAACUCAAAUGAAUUGACGGGG
Molecule: ribosomal RNA, 396 nt
Filed under: uncultured bacterium
Lineage: Bacteria
Description: partial 16S ribosomal RNA
Rfam family: Bacterial small subunit ribosomal RNA
Source: RNAcentral